UGGGAGUGAGUCGGGUUUUUUUCCCCCUUUAUUUAACCAAGUGCAGCAGUGCUUUCAGCACAAACAAGCCAUAAAUUUUUCAUGGUUUGGCUAUCUUAUAAAACUCUGCUUUCUAGUCUGGGAGCGAGUCAUUAUUUUUCCUUUUUUUCCCCCUCGAGCGCAGCACAAACAAACACGUCCACGAACUUCAGACCAGUCACACAUUACCGUGGACACCGGAUGGGGCUCAAAAGUUCUUCCAGCGGGUUGUGCCAAAAGGGGCUGUCGACACGACGCUGAGAAGCCCAGUGACGCAAUUUUCAUCAUUAAACUGUGACAACCCYUGCCGACAUUGGCAGUUUGCAGGGAGUAUGUUUUCAGCUUUAGUCUGUGUGUCAAAAUGAGUCGUCGUUUGACGGUGGAGGAAGCUGAGUGCUGAGCUUCAGCUUGAAGAAGAGGAGGAAGAGGAGGAAGACAGCACGCCGGUGGAGGAUUAAGACUUGCAGGGGAAAACGAAGAGGAGGAGGAGGAGUUGCCCACCCACUCUGUCAGGCCCACAAAACAGAAACCACAACGAAGUCGGACCAGGACCAGAUCCAGAACCAGAUCCCUGGUGACCGUAGCAGCAGGGACAGCAGCUGAAACAUGAUGGACAGUAGAACACCAAGAAAAGCAGAAAGCCCCUGUUGUAAGCCAUUUUCAACCUAGGAGACCAUGGAGUGCAGGUAGGUCUGCUGUCCCCCUACAGUCCAAAAAACUUUUUUGUUGUUUUUUGCUUCUGAUCCAGUCAAGAGCGUCUGUGAUAACACCAACAAACAUGCUGCAAAAAACAAGUUAGUGGAAAAAAUAUAAAUAGGCUCAAAUAGACAUGGAGCAGUUCUACAGUAUAUCUUUGGGUCUCCUGCUCUAUACGUCUAUGGUUCAACUACCAAAGUUCAGGACUAACAGUUGUAAAAACAAAAACACGAGACAUAAGGUUGGAGAGAUUUUAUGAUUGAGUCGUUGUCACACAUUUUUGAAAUGGUUGUAAAAUUAAAAAAACACACGAGACAUUGUAAGGAUGGAGAGAAUUUGUGGAGGAGUCAUUGUGACACAUUUUGUAAAU
Molecule: long non-coding RNA, 1084 nt
Organism: Austrofundulus limnaeus
Lineage: Eukaryota; Metazoa; Chordata; Actinopteri; Cyprinodontiformes; Rivulidae
Exons: 2
Source: RefSeq, a predicted model, not a curated record